This 2739-nucleotide long non-coding RNA is filed under the name Homo sapiens (human). RNAcentral's name for it is "HSALNT0153870". Lineage: Eukaryota; Metazoa; Chordata; Mammalia; Primates; Hominidae. The record is from RNAcentral.
CUGCGGUGUUCUCCCGCCCCCGCCCCGGGCUGGCGCGCCCCGACGCAUCUCCUAGGGGCACCGGGGCUCUCCGCCGAGCUCCGGGCAGGUCCUGAGUUCCCUCGCGCAUGCAUGCAGCCAUUCGUUCCACAGCCAUGACUGGGCACCUACUGUGUGCCAGGCCCUCAGUGAUUUCAUGCCUAGGGAAGGCAAGAAGUCGGCGCCCAAAGAAACUUUGAAAUGAGGAGUCUUGCACGACGGGUGCGCGGUUGAGCUGAGGUCCCGCUGACUUCCAGUCCAGUGCUCGUCCCUUGGCACUAAAUUGUUUUGUUUUCCAUCUUGGCUGCCUCCAAAUUUUGCUGACCAAGUGCAAAGCCCAGGUUUCUUAACAAGCCAAGGCUCUACGACCAGGGCACAACAAUCCAUACCUUGCUUGAAGGAAACAGCUGGAGGUCAAGAACUCUCACUACUACUGGAAAUUCAUGUGGCUGAGGGAUGGAACAGAAGAGAGCUUUUGGAUAAGGAUAAAAGAAAAGGAAAAAUGGUUUUGGUGACCCAGGGAUCAGGAAUGAUGCCUCCCUGAUACAGGUGGUAACAGAAUGGCCAGAGAAGUGAGAUGGAGAAUUCCAACUGGUCAGCCCUCUGCUGGAAGUCACAUCCAUGAAAAGACAGUUAUCUGAAAACCUAUUCUUGCUUGGCUUACCAUUUCAUUGCCGAGAAACUGGAAACCUGUCCUGGGCCCAGGAGAACACUGUGCUCCGAAUUCCUGGUGACAUUUUAAGAACGGGGGAUGCUAUUCAGCCUGCCCAGUGAUCUGGUGCUUCUAGUGUUGCACGGAUGACACACCACAGGAUUUCCUCAACUGCGCCCUGGCGUCCUGCUAGGAUGUCUUUCUCAUUUUUUCCAUGGUACACACAGUCAUUGCAUCACAGUCCAAACGGACUGUCCAGCGAUGCCUUUGUAAACAUGAGUCACAUGUGAAGUUAAAGGAAUCUGUGUUCAGCCAGGGACAGCAGAGUUCCUAAGGCACAUCGUCUUCACAUAAGGGGUGCAGAUUGAUAAGGGUCAUAGGACUUCCUGCUGAGAUGCCCAAGCAGUGCUCCGGGACUCACUUUAUGCAGCAGCCACUGAGGCCUCCAUCCAUAACACUCUUCUUCAUCCCUAUGAAGUUCUCCAGCUAUCAUAUCAGAAAACAUUACUAUUUCCCCAUUUUUCACCUUCUUGGGUGUCUCUCAGUUGGGUCCUGAAUGUCACCCCCUGUCCAGCCUUGGUCAUCCCAGCCCAAGCACAGGCACAAACCUCUUUCUUGCUUCCCCUUGAAAAAUGAAGGUCACCUAUAUCAACCUCCCGAAACAACACAUUCGACUGUCUCUGCCUGUUGAAAUCCUGGUUAAGGUCCAUCUCAGAAACUGCCUCUUCCCCGAUUAUCUCCACUGGCUAUGAGCUCUCUAAUCCCUGCACCAGAGAGUAUUUGAUCUGUUUCUCUCUCUCUUUUUUUUUUUUUUGAGAUGGCGUUUCGCUCUGUCACCCAGGCUGGAGUGCAGCGGCGCGAUCUUGGCUCACUGCAAGCUCUGCCUCCCGGGUUCAUGCCAUUCUCCUGCCUCAGCGUCCCAAGUAGCUGGGACUACAGGCGCCUGCCACUAUGCCUGGCUAAUUUUUUGUAUUUUUAGUAGAGAUGGGGUUUCACCGUGUUAGCCAGGAUGGUCUCAAUCUCCUGACCUUGUGAUCUGCCUGCCUCGGCCUCCCAAAGUGCUGGGAUUACAGGCUUGAGCCACCGCGCCUGGCCUGUUCUGUUUUCUUUUAUGCUUCUCAUCACAUUUUGACUUGCAUUGAGUUAUCAAUGUGUGUGCCCCUUUCAGAAAGAUCUUCCUGAAGCCAUUUAGGCUGUGACUAUUAUGUCUAAGCAAGAUAUGUGAAGGGCUAUGUGCCCCUUACAAAAAAAUUGCUUGCUUUUCUGCAGUGAGCAAGAAGGGUGAUGUUGUAUCUAAAGGUUCUUUGUCAAAGUCCUUCCAGAAUUUUUCUUGCUAGCUUAAUAAUCAAUCAGUAGAUAGAAAAGAGAUAUAGAUAGAUGUAGAAAGAUGUGUCCAGCAGUGUCCCAAAUAAGGUAUAACUAAUCUGUGAUUGGAUAUCACUGUGCACUCUAAAUUUCUUGCCUAUGUGUAACAAGUAAGUCAGGAUGUCCCCCCCCCACCCACCAACCUCCACACCCAAGAGUCAUCUAGUUGUGUUAGAAGGUCUGCAGGUGGGCAGUGGCUCAUGCCUGUAAUCCCAGUGCUUUGGGAGGUCGAGGUGGGAGGAUUGCUUGAGGCCAGGAGUUUGAGACUAGCCUGGGUAACAUAGUGAGACCCCAUCUCUAUUUAUUUUUAAAGGAAGAUCUACAGGUGAAGGGCACAUUCUUUUGUUGUCCACCUGUAUUGCUGAGUGAGCUAAUUCCAAACCAGCUCUGGGGCCUAUGACCUCCAUAUUUGAGCAGAAGAAUUAAAAAGUCUGUAAAAUCCCUCAUUGAAAUUAUCAGGAAAUAAAGGGAAGCUAAAACCCUCUUAGUGUCUCAUGGUUUUGAUUUCAUUGCAAUCUAGAAUUGUAUAUAGUGCAGUAUCAAUCAUGGGAAGCUGCCCCAGUGUUGUCAGCCUCUGUGACAGUAUUUUAUUCUCACACUGUAGGGUAAAUGCAUUGAGGCAACCUUCAUAUUUCUCUCAAUCCUGCGCAAUCUGCAGUAACCAGCUUUCUUUGAUUACCUAGAUAGGCUCAGGGGCCUCUCCC